RNAcentral lists this ribosomal RNA (501 nucleotides) under uncultured bacterium. Its description in RNAcentral is "bacterial SSU rRNA". It matches the Rfam family "Bacterial small subunit ribosomal RNA", at positions 8 to 500 of the family's 1533-position model. The record is from RNAcentral.
AGAGUUUGAUCCUGGCUCAGAUUGAACGCUGGCGGCAGGCCUAACACAUGCAAGUCGAGCGGUAGCACAGAGAGCUUGCUCUCGGGUGACGAGCGGCGGACGGGUGAGUAAUGUCUGGGAAACUGCCUGAUGGAGGGGGAUAACUACUGGAAACGGUAGCUAAUACCGCAUAACGUCGCAAGACCAAAGUGGGGGACCUUCGGGCCUCAUGCCAUCAGAUGUGCCCAGAUGGGAUUAGCUAGUAGGUGGGGUAAUGGCUCACCUAGGCGACGAUCCCUAGCUGGUCUGAGAGGAUGACCAGCCACACUGGAACUGAGACACGGUCCAGACUCCUACGGGAGGCAGCAGUGGGGAAUAUUGCACAAUGGGCGCAAGCCUGAUGCAGCCAUGCCGCGUGUAUGAAGAAGGCCUUCGGGUUGUAAAGUACUUUCAGCGAGGAGGAAGGCGUUAAGGUUAAUAACCUUAGCGAUUGACGUUACUCGCAGAAGAAGCACCGGCUAA